Anthonomus grandis grandis is the source of this 830-nucleotide long non-coding RNA. RefSeq lists it as uncharacterized. Lineage: Eukaryota; Metazoa; Arthropoda; Insecta; Coleoptera; Curculionidae. The record is from RefSeq and is a predicted model, not a curated record. The transcript has 4 exons.
UUAAUUUUGUUUUGUUUUCCCUAACCUAUAUUGCAAAUUUCUUAUCGAUUUUUUUUGUCAUAGUGCUUAGUGUUGACUCUGUUGUCUAUACUAUUCGGUACUACGCUAAUUUUGAGUUCAAAAACAAACAUUUUAGUGUUUGAUUUUCAAUUUCUAGUAAACUGUUCAGUGAUUUCUUUCCUUUAUAAUUUCUUUUUUAGCUGCUGCAGUGUGUGUUUACGAUAAUUAUGGCAACACUAAGCCAACAAAAUGCAAUCUGCGAAGUCUGCGAGAAGGAGUUUCAGGAAGGAAGUUUCACCCAGAACUUUUUGGCCAGGCAUACAAGGAACACAUUAUAUGUACCAACGAUACCUAGACAUUUUCUUAUUUUAAUAGUUUAAACAAACAUUUUUGUUUAAUAUCCACAAAAUACAGAUAAAACAAUAAUUUUUACAUUUUAGGAAUUUUGAAGAAUAUACCUCUUAUAGAGAACAAAGUAAUAGGGAAGUCGAUUAUGCUUGUCAGAUCCAAAAUAAAUUUGAGAAUGGAGGAUAACAUAUAUUUUACAAUUGUAACAGGAGAAACAUCAGAGGAUUUAAUAGCUUAUGUAAAAUGAGAAACAUUAAGUCUGGGGGAAGCAUAUGCAUCAAGGGACAUGCCCCUCAAGAAUUUUAGUUAAGGCUUUAAAGAAUGGAUCAGUUGUGAUCAGAAGUGCUAGUUUAUAAUAUUAUAUAACCAUAUUUAUAAUAUGAUUAUAAACAAGCUGGAUGGAUUUAGUUUCUUCUCUACCAUUUUAAGUUGUUGAUAUAAUAUAAUAUAAUAUAAUACAUUUUAAUAUAGUAUAGAGUCCA